Molecule: ribosomal RNA, 497 nt
Filed under: uncultured bacterium
Lineage: Bacteria
Description: partial 16S ribosomal RNA
Rfam family: Bacterial small subunit ribosomal RNA
Source: RNAcentral
GAUGAACGCUGGCGGCGUGCCUAAUACAUGCAAGUCGAGCGGACGGACGAUAAGCUUGCUUCCUUGAUGUUAGCGGCGGACGGGUGAGUAACACGUAGAUCACCAUCCUAUAAGUCUGGGAUAACUUCGGGAAACCGGAGCUAAUAACAGCUCAUAUUUUGUACCGCAUGAUUCAAAAGUGAUUGACGGUCUUGCUGUCACUUAUAGCUGGAUCCGCGCUGGAUUAGCUAGUUGGUAAGGUCACGGCUCACCAAGGCAACGAUGCGUAGCCGACCUGAGAGGGUGAUCGGCCACACUGGAACUGAGACACGGUCCAGACUCCUACGGGAGGCAGCAGUAGGGAAUAUUCCGCAAUGGGCGAAAGCCUGACGGAGCAACGCCGCGUGGGUGAAGAAGGUCUUCGGAUCGUAAAGCUCUUUUAUUAGGGAAGAAAAGAUGUGUAAUAAUCUGCGCAUGUCUUGACGGUACCUAAUCAGAAAGCCACGGCUAACUUCGUG